Molecule: ribosomal RNA, 889 nt
Filed under: uncultured bacterium
Lineage: Bacteria
Description: bacterial SSU rRNA
Rfam family: Bacterial small subunit ribosomal RNA
Source: RNAcentral
CUUUGAUUAUGGCUCAGGAUGAACGCUAGCUACAGGCUUAACACAUGCAAGUCGAGGGGCAGCAUGAACUUAGCUUGCUAAGUUUGAUGGCGACCGGCGCACGGGUGAGUAACACGUAUCCAACCUGCCGAUGACUCGGGGAUAGCCUUUCGAAAGAAAGAUUAAUACCCGAUGGCAUAGUUCUUCCGCAUGGUAGAACUAUUAAAGAAUUUCGGUCAUCGAUGGGGAUGCGUUCCAUUAGGUUGUUGGCGGGGUAACGGCCCACCAAGCCUUCGAUGGAUAGGGGUUCUGAGAGGAAGGUCCCCCACAUUGGAACUGAGACACGGUCCAAACUCCUACGGGAGGCAGCAGUGAGGAAUAUUGGUCAAUGGACGAGAGUCUGAACCAGCCAAGUAGCGUGAAGGAUGACUGCCCUAUGGGUUGUAAACUUCUUUUAUACGGGAAUAAAGUGAGGCACGUGUGCCUUUUUGUAUGUACCGUAUGAAUAAGGAUCGGCUAACUCCGUGCCAGCAGCCGCGGUAAUACGGAGGAUCCGAGCGUUAUCCGGAUUUAUUGGGUUUAAAGGGAGCGUAGGCGGACGCUUAAGUCAGUUGUGAAAGUUUGCGGCUCAACCGUAAAAUUGCAGUUGAUACUGGGUGUCUUGAGUACAGUAGAGGCAGGCGGAAUUCGUGGUGUAGCGGUGAAAUGCUUAGAUAUCACGAAGAACUCCGAUUGCGAAGGCAGCCUGCUGGACUGUAACUGACGCUGAUGCUCGAAAGUGUGGGUAUCAAACAGGAUUAGAUACCCUGGUAGUCCACACAGUAAACGAUGAAUACUCGCUGUUCGCGAUAUACAGUAAGCGGCCAAGCGAAAGCGUUAAGUAUUCCACCUGGGGAGUACGCCGGCAACG